ACCAGACUCCUACGGGAGGCAGCAGUGGGGAAUAUUGCACAAUGGGGGAAACCCUGAUGCAGCGACGCCGCGUGAGCGAUGAAGUAUUUCGGUAUGUAAAGCUCUAUCAGCAGGGAAGAAAAUGACGGUACCUGACUAAGAAGCCCCGGCUAACUACGUGCCAGCAGCCGCGGUAAUACGUAGGGGGCAAGCGUUAUCCGGAUUUACUGGGUGUAAAGGGAGCGUAGACGGCGAUGCAAGCCAGAUGUGAAAGCCCGGGGCUCAACCCCGGGACUGCAUUUGGAACUGUAUAGCUAGAGUGUCGGAGAGGCAGGCGGAAUUCCUGGUGUAGCGGUGAAAUGCGUAGAUAUCAGGAGGAACACCGGUGGCGAAGGCGGCCUGCUGGACUGCAACUGACGUUGAGGCCCGAAAGCGUGGGGAGCAAACAGGAUUAGAUACCCUCGUACC
Molecule: ribosomal RNA, 447 nt
Filed under: uncultured bacterium
Lineage: Bacteria
Description: bacterial SSU rRNA
Rfam family: Bacterial small subunit ribosomal RNA
Source: RNAcentral